RNAcentral lists this long non-coding RNA (2151 nucleotides) under Sus scrofa (pig). Its description in RNAcentral is "lncRNA (ENSSSCG00015066752.1)". The record is from RNAcentral. Lineage: Eukaryota; Metazoa; Chordata; Mammalia; Artiodactyla; Suidae.
AUGGCCUCAUCUAGAGAAGUUCCAUUGGUUUCUAGAAAGCCUCGCCAGCCUGGAGCGGAGAAGCUGUCACCUGAGAGCAGAACUGAGGUAUUACCUAGAGAGGAGGUUGCCCCACAAAAGUACUGUUUAUUGAUUGAAGGAGAAGAAAACCUGAAACUAAAAUGCACAAUCAACCAAACUCCUGAGCAUCAGUGUUUGGAUCCCAACCCCAACCCCACAGCAGUCACCCACCCACCCCCAUUUUCCCUCCAAGAAGCUGCCUUUUCCUGACAGACUGGAGGUCUGGUGGCCGCCUGAGGAGGAAUCUCCAUGACUCAUGCUGAUGGGAAAUCUAUCAGCAAAGAUACAAGAUGUCACAGUCUCUUUCCUCAUCUAGGGCAUUUGAGGGAAGGCAAAGCAGGGUUGCAUCAUCUGGGUAUUUCAGAAUCAAAGGUUGGCUGCCAGGGGAAGCAAUGAGGAGUUUGGAGGUCUGGCACUAGCCAGGGUAUGCUUUAUCUUGUCUGGUCCCUCUAGAUAGGUUUGUUUUCAAAGGUGAAGACAAGACUGAUUAAAAUGAAUUAAGUCCCAAGAGGGCAGUCACAGGGGAAGAGGUACCACUCCAUCAUGACAGGCACUUUAUUUCACAGACAUGCCCUUACAAAGUGCUGAAGGCAUGCACAUUUUAGAUUUUAGUUUUCAAUUUAUAUUUAGAUUUCUAUUUUAAAAGGCAUGUGCAUCAAAGAUGACUUAGACCUUCCUCCAAGCAUUUAAGUGUAACUUUAAGGAGUCCUUGUGCUAUGUUUCCAAGGUUAUUACUUUAACUUGGCAAGAAUAAUCAGAGAAUUAUUAGAGAAAUGCAAAUCAGAACUACAUGAGGUACCACUUAAUACCAGUCAGGAUAGCCAUCACUGAUAAGUCUACAAAUAACAAAUGCUGGACAGGGUGUGGAGAAAAGGGAACCCUCCUGCACUGUUGGUGUAACCACUAUGGAAAACAGUCCAGAAGUUCCUCAAAAAACUAAAAAUAGAAUUACUAUAUAUAAUCUAGCAAUCCUACUCCUGGAAAUAUAUCCGGACAAAACUAUAAUUCAAGAAGAUAUGGAGUUCCCAUCGUGGCUCAGUUGUUAACGAAUCCGACUAGUAACCAUGAGGUUGUGGUGUGGGUUCAAUCCCUGGCCUUGCUCAAUGGGUUAAGGAUCUGGCAUUGCUGUGAGCUGUGGUGUAAGUUGCAGAUACAGUUCGGAUCCCGAGUUGCUGUGGCUGUGGCUGGGGCUGGCGGCUACAGGUCCGAUUUGGCCCCAAGCCUGGGAACCUCCAUAUGCUGUGAGAGCAGCCUUAGAAAAGGCAAAAAAAAAAAAAAGAAGAAGAAGAAGAAGAAGGUACAUUCCCCCCUGUGUUCAUAGCAGCACUAUUCACAAUAGCUAAGACAUGGAAACAACCUCAAUGUCCAUCAACGGAUGAAUGGAUUAAGAAGAUGUGGUACAAUGGAAUAUUCUCCACAAAAAAAGAAGGAAAUAAUGCCAUUUGCAGCAAUACGAAUGGACCUGGAGAUUCGUAUAUAAGCAAAGUCAGAAAGAGAAAUACAAAUACCGUAUGAUGUCACUUGUAUGUGGAAUCUAAAAUUUGGCACAAAUGAACCUAUCUACAAAACAGAAACAGAGAACAGCCUUGUGGUUGCCAAGGGGGAAGGGAGAGUAAGUGGAAUGGACUGGGGUUUGGGGUUAAUAGAUCCAAACUAUUAUAUUUAGAAAGGAUAAGCAACAAGGUCCUACUGUAUAGCACAAGGAAAUAUAUCCAAUCUCUUGAGAUAAACUAUNACACUGCUCUGACACUUAGCAGAUCCACCUGGUUUCAUAAAGACCCAGGCAUUUAAUUAUCCUUGGAUUUAUUUGGGGGAAACUCCCCCAACCCCAGUUUGCAAAACCUUUUUGCUGGCCUCUGAUUACUAUUUUUUUCUUUUUUCUUUUAUUAAAAUACAGUUGACUUACAGUGUUGUGCCAAUUUCUGCUGUAUAGCAAAGUGACUCAUGCAUAUAUAUAUGCGUGUGUAUAUAUAUAUAUAUAUACACACGCAUAUAUAUAUGCAUGAGUCACUUUGCUAUACAGCAGAAAUUGGCACAACACUGUAAGUCAACUGUAUUUUAAUAAAAGAAAAAAGAAAAAAAUAGUAAUCA